RNAcentral lists this ribosomal RNA (442 nucleotides) under Eutrombicula sp. RNAcentral describes it as "SSU rRNA". It matches the Rfam family "Eukaryotic small subunit ribosomal RNA", at positions 597 to 1043 of the family's 1831-position model. Lineage: Eukaryota; Metazoa; Arthropoda; Arachnida; Trombidiformes; Trombiculidae. The record is from RNAcentral.
GCGUAUAUUAAAGUUGUUGCGGUUAAAAAGCUCGUAGUUGGAUCUCAGCUCACGCUAAGUGGUCCACCUAAUGGUGGUUACUACUUAGCUGAGCAUUUUACAGAUUUGUCUCUUGAUGCUCUUCACCGAGUGUCAAGAGUGGUCUGUACGUUUACUUUGAAAAAAUUAGAGUGCUUAAAGCAGGCAACUCGCCCGAAUAAUCUUGCAUGGAAUAAUGGAAUAGGACCUUGGUUCUAUUUUGUUGGUCUCCGGAAUCUGAGGUAAUGAUUAAGAGGGACAGACGGGGGCAUUCGUAUUGCGCCGCUAGAGGUGAAAUUCUUGGACCGGCGCAAGACGAACUACAGCGAAAGCAUUUGCCAAGAAUGUUUUCAUUAAUCAAGAACGAAAGUUAGAGGUUCGAAGGCGAUCAGAUACCGCCCUAGUUCUAACCAUAAACGAUGCC